AGUGAACGCUGGCGGUAGGCCUAACACAUGCAAGUCGAACGGCAGCACAGGAGAGCUUGCUCUCUGGGUGGCGAGUGGCGGACGGGUGAGGAAUACAUCGGAAUCUACUCUGUCGUGGGGGAUAACGUAGGGAAACUUACGCUAAUACCGCAUACGACCUACGGGUGAAAGCAGGGGACCUUCGGGCCUUGCGCGAUUGAAUGAGCCGAUGUCGGAUUAGCUAGUUGGCGGGGUAAAGGCCCACCAAGGCGACGAUCCGUAGCUGGUCUGAGAGGAUGAUCCGCCACACUGGAACUGAGACACGGUCCAGACUCCUACGGGAGGCAGCAGUGGGGAAUAUUGGACAAUGGGCGCAAGCCUGAUCCAGCCAUACCGCGUGGGUGAAGAAGGCCUUCGGGUUGUAAAGCCCUUUUGUUGGGAAAGAAAUCCAGCUGGCUAAUACCCGGUUGGGAUGACGGUACCCAAAGAAUAAGCACCAGCUAACUUCGUGCCAGCAGCCGCAGUAA
RNAcentral lists this ribosomal RNA (506 nucleotides) under uncultured bacterium. Its description in RNAcentral is "partial 16S ribosomal RNA". It matches the Rfam family "Bacterial small subunit ribosomal RNA", at positions 29 to 523 of the family's 1533-position model. The record is from RNAcentral.